Molecule: long non-coding RNA, 731 nt
Organism: Nothobranchius furzeri (turquoise killifish)
Lineage: Eukaryota; Metazoa; Chordata; Actinopteri; Cyprinodontiformes; Nothobranchiidae
Source: RefSeq, a predicted model, not a curated record
UUAGAGCUGAAACAACUAAUCGAUUUAAUCGAUUAUAAUCGAUUAUUAAAAUAGUUAACAACUUUUUUAGUCAUCGAUUAGUUGUUUAAUAAUCAUAUUUUACCGCAUAAAGUCUAUUUUUUACCACAAUCUGACAUCGGUUACAAUCUGUUAAAUUUGCCGCCAGUGUGUGGCAGUAAUGAGCCACUGAUCUACCAGUGGGGCCGUAGAAGAAGAAAUUAGCCAAUAAGUGCCCUCGGUUUUCAUGACGUAUCACGUUACUGACGCGCAUCUUGCUGUGAGAGAUGGCGGAUCAACAACAAAUACGGAAGAAAAAUAGAAGCGACAAAACAAGAGAAACCCCGGACAAAAACCUCACGAGUAUGGGAGCACUUCACUAGAUGCCUUGAAAAGACCGGUGACCUACAAAAUAUGCAAAAACCAUGGCACGACGGAAGCACGACGUCCCUAAGUGAACAUUUGAGACGAAAACGUGGGGGCUGAUGCAGCAGAGGAAUGUCCGAAAAAAACAAGCAACGAUGGACAACUACAUGGGGAACAAGACACUCACCCCCAGCAAUGCAUACCACUUACAAACUCUAUUCCAGAUUCUACAUUAUUUGUUAUGGAAUUUACCUCUUAUAUUUUGAUGCCAAAAAAUUAUUCUGGACUGAUAUUUUGCACUGUUUAGCUCAUUUUACACUGCUGACUGUGGUCAUGUGCAAUAAAAUAGAUUGCAGUCAACUGCACAA